UAAUCGGCUAGACUUUAUAAACUUGAACUCUAAUUGAUGUUAGUUUAGGGUUUUGUAAAUAUAUCUUGUUUUUUAGGGUGAAAUCGGGAAUUUUUAUUGAUAAUGCUCUAAUCUUUAAGAUUUGGUGAAUGAAUCAGAUUAGUACCUGAUUAAACAAAAAUUAAAAGAGCAGGAGUAAAGUUGUAUUUAAACUGUAAGAAUAUUGGCAGGUUUUUAAAUUAUCUUUGGAGGUUGAGUAGUAAUUGAGAACCCUCAUUAACAACUUUUACUGUAGGCGCAUGUAUGAUCGUUUAUUUUAUUCUUAAGGAUUGUAAUUUUAGAUUAAUUUAUUUUCUGUAAAAAUAGAUAAAUACUUGGUGUAUGUAAAAGAUUUAAUUUGACCUACAAUAUGCUGUCUUGUGGAUACUUUUUUAGUAGAAGGUUGAAAAUGUAAAAGACAGUAAGUUUUUUUUUAUAUAAAGCUGAAGUUUAUUUAAAAACGGUACAAA
This 488-nucleotide ribosomal RNA is filed under the name Ascaris suum (pig roundworm). RNAcentral describes it as "partial 12S small subunit ribosomal RNA". Lineage: Eukaryota; Metazoa; Nematoda; Chromadorea; Rhabditida; Ascarididae. The record is from RNAcentral.